Molecule: non-coding RNA, 3215 nt
Organism: Macaca mulatta (Rhesus monkey)
Lineage: Eukaryota; Metazoa; Chordata; Mammalia; Primates; Cercopithecidae
Source: RefSeq, a predicted model, not a curated record
UCAGGUGAUCCGCCUGCUUCAGCCUCCCAAAGUGCUGGGAUGACAGGCGUGAGCCACCGCGCCCGGCCUGUCUCUCUUUUUGUAUAACGCCUCUGUAUGGGUUUGGACAACACUUCCUGUUGAUCAUUUGUCCCCCACAGUGAGACGCCUCUUUCUGAAUAUCUCUGGGGGAAAGAUGGGCCAGGAUAGCUCCCUCGAGAGCGCCCUCUGUUAUUAUUAGGUUGGUGCAAAAGUAAUAAACUGCAAUUACUUAUGCACCAACCUAAUAGUUCUGAGAAGAGAUGGUAAAUACAGCCCCUUGCUUUCUGCAACCUGCUGCCUCUGCUCUCUUCUCUCCCUUUUAUUGGGACCUGUUUUCCUUUCUGCUUCUGCCCUGGUCAAUUUGGAUUCUACUACCCCCAGCAACAUCUUCUCGGCGCCGGGCUUUGUCUUGCAAGUGAGUUGCACUUGGUUAAUUUCAAGAGUCCGUGGCCCAGUGGCUCCCGCACCAUCUGCCUUGCUGCUUUCUCCUUGCAGGCGCCUGUGAGUGGAAGGAAGGCUGUGAGUCUCCCUGCUUUGACUCUUCUUCUCUGACUGGACCAUGGGCUUUCCAGGGAGUACCUGCUUGUGAUUUGGGGGUCUCUCCAGAUCUCAGGAUCAUCAGAAUCCCCCUCUACAUUGACUUCUCUCCUCUCCCUCUCCUGCGGUUGCUGAUACCAUGCAAGGCUUGUGGCUGUCAGUGACUUGUACCCACCUGCUUGUGUGCUGUGGACAGCUUGCCACCUAGUCUCACUGUGGCUGUUAUCCAGAGGUUUUUGGUUUUGCUAUCCUAGGUGCUCUGUCAAUCGUUGGGGAAUUGGGGGAGGUAAAAAAAACUACGGCAUCACUGUCCCAUCUUCCCAAAAUUGCUUUUAAACCCACUUACCGAAAAGUAGCAGAAACAUUCAUUAUAAAAGCCGCAGUGUGGAUGGCAGCUCCCAGUGUUUUUCAGGGGAAAUGAGAAGCUCCAAAGAGCAGAGCAUGACAUGUCUCAGGGCCUGGCCUCUGUCUUGAGACUGCAGAGACCCUACGGAUAGAGCUGUAGGCAGGGCUGCCCUGUCCUGUUGCUGGGUUGUGUACUCCUCAAGUGCCCUUGGCUGAGAGGGUCUGAGCUUUACCAAAGUCGCUUCUGGUAGAAAUGCAGAGCUCCCUCACCUCCGUCCUGACCCGUGCAAUCUUCAGCCUCAUCUGGGAAAGAGGCUUCCGGGAACAGGAGCAGGGGGACCCUCAGCCAAGCCAGGAGCUGGAUGAAUUAUGCUGGCUUGGCCCAGCCCAAAGGGGCUCCAGGUAGAGAGGGACCGGAGAGCCACAGUCCUCCUGGAGAACUUUCCCCAACUUUCCAGCCCCUGCCCCGCCAUGGACUGCUGGGGUCCCUGGUUGGUGCAGGCCCUUUUCCGCCUCUUAGUUUGUGAUCACACUAUUUUCCUUACCACUGUCUCUUGGAAAACUUCCAUGCAUCCUUCAGGGCCCAGCUCAGAUGUCACCUCCUCCAGGAAGCCUCCUCAUGAAGCCUUGCUCCUUACCCCAAGCUCAGUUUGUCGCUUCCGUAAGCGCUGCUGCUCCUGACUCCAUUCAACACGCAUGGGUUCAAUCGUGCAGCCAACCAACGUUUGCUGAGCAGCUACUAUGUUUUGAGUCUCUGUGUGUUACCCUGGGGUAAAUGAGACUGACCUGGCUCCUGGCCUCGGGGGGUGUGCGGUGAGAUUGUCCCUGUGGUGAGCUUGUUUGCCUCUCCCCAGGGAUGGGCACCAUGGCACAUAUGCUGCUGACCCCAGUGCCCAGCAAGGAGCUGGCACGCAGGAGAUGCUCAGUGGGGGUUUGGUGCGUGGUGAAUGUCCUCGGCGUGGAGGACUCAGCCAGCGCAGCAGGGGAACAGAGGCUGUCUCUGGCAUCAGUCCCUGAGUAGCUUCCUGGUCCCGGCCGCUGGGCUGGGGGACAUUGCCCACUCUCCAAGCUGCUCACGUACAUUACUAGCCACGGGAGAUGGGUGAGGGCUUCUCAGCUCCACAAGGGCAAGCUGCAGUGACAGAGUAGGCCUUGCCCAUGAACUGCCAGGGCCCCCUAGCCGAGAUGAGAUCCGCCCCUGGCAGGCCGUGGAAGGACGAGCCCUCCCUGAGUGCGUGACCCCCAGCCCCGCCCGACCUCAAGUCUAUCCCGGAACCUCCUCUCCCACCUCCGGGCUCUGGGUCCCCUGCUGUAAAACGCCCGCAAGGCCGGCUCAGAGUCUGGUCCCAGGGCAGCUGUGGCGUUGGCCUUGGCCCCGCCCCACUGGGUCUCACUCACCCUCAGCUCACCGCAAAGCCCUGAGGUGGGUCUCCUGUGGAGCCCCUUCCUGUGCCGGAACACCCCCAGACUUUUCUUUCGCAGCCUGGGGCUCAUUGUCUGAGGGCAGGGUUACCACCUUUAAGACAUCGUGAGGUUCGGCCACCUCAGAGCAAGCUGCCCCCACCGUGGCUCCUCUUCAGGCCCAGCGGGGAAUGGCUGCUUGCACCAGGUAACGGCAGCCCAGUCUCAAGCCAUCGCGUCCCAGAGGCACCUGGUCCCCCUGGAGCAUCGGCCUCCUUCCUCUCUAAUCUCCCCAGGCCUCCCCCAGGGGCCUCUUAAAAGCACAAAUCCCACAUGUUUCUCUCCCUUGCUCAAGACCCUCCGGUGGCCUUCUCCUUGCUCACGGAGUGAGGUCUAAACCUCUCAACACGGACACCAGGCCCCACGGGGUCUGCAGCUGCCCCUCACUUCCUCUGGGUCGUCUCCUCUCAAGCUCACGGCUCCCAGCACUUCCCCUGCACACUGGCUCCUCCUGCCUCCCUGUCUGUACCCAGGGCGUGGUGGACCCUCAUCAGCCUUUGGACUUCAGCUGAAGCAGCGCCUCCCCCCAGAGGCUCUCCCCGUUUAUCUCAUUUAAAGAUGGCCCUGCUGCGUGUGCGCUUUUGAAAAUUGCACCAUCAUUCACUUACUAUAAAAUGGGCUCUUUUGAAAGGAUACCCUUCAGUGGUUUUUAGUAUAUUCACAAGGUUGAAAAACCAUGACCACUUUCCAAUUUCAGAAUGUUCUCAUCACCCCAAAAGGAAACCCCAUCCCUGUUAGCAGUCUCUCCCUCUUCCUCCCUCCCCCCAGGCCCUGGCAACCGUAAAGCUGCUUUCCCUCUCGGGACCUGCCUAUUCUGGACAUUUUGUAUAAAUGGAAUCACGUAAUAUGUG